GACAGUGAUGGCCGUAUUUACUGGUACUUCGGCUUCCCUCCAUCGUUGUCAAAACCCAGUAUAUGAUUUGGGAUGAACUCACUUCGCAUUUGGAGUUCUCUUGUUUGGGCCAUGCGUGUGAUGCCUUUGAGGAGAAAUGGAGGAUGUACAUGAUGAUGCUGAGAAAUAUCCUGGCUGGCUAGUUACAGUACUUGAGCCUUGGGAUUAUUCAUUAGGAAUUAGCCAUUAUGUUCUUUCAUAUGUCUGUAUUAGGCUUAUUUAACCAAGGCGUGCUGUAAGCAAGCUGAAUUUUCCGGAAUCUGCCUCUAAUAUGUAAGAGCUGUAUCGUUAUUUUGUGUUGGAAGCAAAUAAGCAAUGCCGUGUCU
This is a long non-coding RNA of Lolium rigidum, 365 nucleotides long. RefSeq lists it as uncharacterized. The transcript has 2 exons. NCBI's taxonomy places the organism in Eukaryota, Viridiplantae, Streptophyta, Magnoliopsida, Poales, Poaceae. The record is from RefSeq and is a predicted model, not a curated record.